Molecule: ribosomal RNA, 835 nt
Filed under: Leucocoprinus sp.
Lineage: Eukaryota; Fungi; Basidiomycota; Agaricomycetes; Agaricales; Agaricaceae
Description: partial large subunit ribosomal RNA
Rfam family: Eukaryotic large subunit ribosomal RNA
Source: RNAcentral
GUCUCUGGCCGUCCGAGUUGUAAUCUAGAGAAGUGAUGCCCGCGCUGGACCGUGUACAAGUCUCCUGGAAUGGAGCGUCAUAGAGGGUGAGAAUCCCGUCUCUGACACGGACUACCAGGGCUUUGUGGUACGCUCUCAAAGAGUCGAGUUGUUUGGGAAUGCAGCUCAAAAUGGGUGGUAAAUUCCAUCUAAAGCUAAAUAUUGGCGAGAGACCGAUAGCGAACAAGUACCGUGAGGGAAAGAUGAAAAGAACUUUGGAAAGAGAGUUAAACAGUACGUGAAAUUGCUGAAAGGGAAACGCUUGAAGUCAGUCGCGUUGGCCGGGGAUCAGCCUCGCUUUUGCGUGGUGUACUUUCCGGUUGACGGGUCAGCAUCAAUUUUGACCGCUGGAAAAAGGCUUGAGGAAUGUGGCAGCUCCGGCUGUGUUAUAGCUUCUUGUCACAUACAGCGGUUGGGAUUGAGGUACUCAGCACGCCGCAAGGCCGGGUUUCGACCACGUUCGUGCUUAGGAUGCUGGCAUAAUGGCUUUAAGCGACCCGUCUUGAAACACGGACCAAGGAGUCUAACAUGCCUGCGAGUGUUUGGGUGGAAAACCCGAGCGCGUAAUGAAAGUGAAAGUUGAGAUCCCUGUCGCGGGGAGCAUCGACGCCCGGACCAGAACUUUUGGGACGGAUCCGCGGUAGAGCAUGUAUGUUGGGACCCGAAAGAUGGUGAACUAUGCCUGAAUAGGGUGAAGCCAGAGGAAACUCUGGUGGAGGCUCGUAGCGAUUCUGACGUGCAAAUCGAUCGUCAAAUUUGGGUAUAGGGGCGAAAGACUAAUCGAACCUUCUUCGGU